CGCUGCAGCCGAGCAGAACGCUGAGCCGCUCCGCCCCGCGGCCUCCUCUCCAGCCGCCGCGCCCGCCUCCUGCAGGCCACCUCAAGCAUUAGAACUACCAACAAACAACCCUGAUGCGACCUCUCCAGAUUGUCCCAAGUCGAUUGAUUUCCCAGCUAUAUUGUGGCCUGAAGCCUCCAGCCUCCACACGAAACCAGAUUUGCCUGAAAAUGGCUCGGCCAAGUUCAAGUAUGGCAGAUUUUCGGAAGUGUUUUGCAAAAGCAAAGCACAUAGUCAUCAUCUCAGGCGCAGGUGUUAGUGCGGAAAGUGGUGUUCCGACUUUCAGAGGAGCUGGAGGUUACUGGAGAAAAUGGCAAGCCCAGGACCUGGCGACUCCCCUGGCCUUUGCCCACAACCCGUCCCGGGUGUGGGAGUUCUACCACUACCGGCGGGAGGUCAUGGGGAGCAAGGAGCCCAACGCCGGGCACCGCGCCAUAGCCGAGUGUGAGACCCGGCUGGGUAAGCAGGGCCGGCGAGUCGUGGUCAUCACCCAGAACAUCGAUGAGUUGCACCGCAAGGCUGGCACCAAGAACCUUCUGGAGAUCCAUGGUAGCUUAUUUAAAACUCGAUGUACCUCUUGUGGCGUUGUGGCUGAGAAUUACAAGAGUCCAAUUUGUCCAGCUUUAUCAGGAAAAGGUGCUCCAGAACCUGGAACUCAAGAUGCCAGCAUCCCAGUUGAGAAACUUCCCCGGUGUGAAGAGGCAGGCUGCGGAGGCUUGCUGCGCCCUCACGUCGUGUGGUUUGGAGAAAACCUGGAUCCUGCCAUUCUGGAGGAGGUUGACAAAGAGCUCGGCCGCUGUGAUUUAUGUCUAGUGGUGGGUCACGGCUUUCCCUGACCCCAAGACAGGACUGGAGUGGGCACUUCCUCUGUGGUGUACCCAGCCGCCAUGUUUGCCCCCCAGGUGGCUGCCAGGGGCGUGCCAGUGGCAGAAUUUAAUACGGAGACCACCCCAGCUACGAACAGAUUCAGGUUUCAUUUCCAGGGACCCUGUGGAACGACUCUUCCUGAAGCCCUUGCCCGUCAUGAAAAUGAAACUGUUUCUUAAGUGUCCUGGGGAAGAAAGAAAUUAGAGUAUAUCUAAGAACUAGGCCACAUGCAGAGGAGAAAUGGUCUUACGGGUGGUGAGCUGAAUAUUGAACAAUCUAAAAAUAGCCUCUGAUUCCCUAGCUAGAAUCCAACCUGUUGAUAAGCGAUGGGGGCGUAGAAGUAGCAAAGAGCACCCACAUUCAAAAGUCACAGAACUGUAAAGUUAAUGCGUAUUAUUUGGUCUGAACUGAAACGUAAGAUAUCUUGGAUGUGUAUGGUUGGUUAUUGGGAGGGAAAAAUUUUGUAAAUUAGAUUGUCUUAAAAAAAUAUAGUUAUCCUGAUCAUAUUUUUGUUAUUUGGGCAAGGUAGAAGUUGAGGGGUAAAAACCCUACUAUUUAAUUCUGAUUUUUGCACAAGUUUUAGUGGAAAAUAAAAUCACACUCUAUAGUAGGUAAUUUAUUAUAUAAAGAUGUUACCCCAGGAUAUGGCUUUAUGGGGGACUUUUUUUUUUUUUUUGAGACAGAGUUUCACUCUUGUUGCCCAGGCUGGAGUGCAAUGGGGCGAUCUCAGCUCACUGCAACCUCCAUCUCCCGGGUUCAAGAGACUCUCCUGCCUCAGCCUGCUGAGUAGCUGGGAUUACAGGCGUGCACCACCACGCCCGGCUAAUUUUGUAUUUUUAGUAGAGAUGGGGUUCCUCCAUGUUGGUCCGGCUGGUCUUGAACUCCCAACCUCAGGUGAUCCGCCCGCCUCGGCCUCCCAAAAUGCUGGGAUUACAGGCAUGAACCACCGCGCCAGGCUUACUGGGGGCUUUUUAACCUUAUUUGGCUACAUUACCUCAGUGAACAAGAGGCAGCUCACAACAGGAACUCAUGCAAAGAAGGAAGAGAAUAGUACCAACAAGGUAGAACAUCACGAUGAGAAGAAAGAACGAUGCAAAUAUGUGAACCCCCAGGAUAAACACAGCUGCCUAAAAUUUAGCUCUGGCUCCCUUAGAAGGGGGAAGAGUCAACAGUGGACUGUUUCUCAUCGUCACAAAUGCAGAAGCAUAUGGUUCCUGUGGGACCUGCCAACCGUUCCCAGACACUGAACUCUGUUGGGAGUUUUUUCCAUGGGACUUUAAAAACUGAUGCCCUUAUGUUGGGCCAGACCUCUGUUAACUUCAGUAGGGAUGGCACCAGGUUCAAGGGGCCAAAGAAGAGACCUGGAGCCAGUGAAGGAAACAUAGGGUAUAUUUGGGGAACUUUACAGGGUGGUCCAGUGGCAGCGGGCUGGACAGAACUGCAACCACUUAUAAAAAGCAUGCAGUUUAUAUAGCACUUUCACUCAGCACCCUCCCCGCAGCAACCUCCAAUGGCAAACCUCAUUUCUUAAGUUAUUGCUGUCAGAUGCAUCUGCCAUACAGGGUCAUUCUCAGGCAAUGCUUAAGUUAUUUCCAUCAGGUACAUUUUCCAUACACUUUACUACCUUGGAGUAAAGUAGCAAGAAUACAGCUUUUUCCCUAACCUUUACCAGCUAACUCAGUGCUUAGGGGCCUUGGAAUGCCUGCUGCCCAACAAGUGUCAGAGGCCUGACUGGGAGGCAUGGCCAUUAUCAACAGUGUAUGAAGGUCAUACAUGACAGGGUCCCUUGGAUCCAGUGGGCUCCCUGAAGUGAUUACAUACUUGGACCACAUCACCUCAGCCCCUUGCAAAAUUGCAUUUAAUGUUACACCCUUGGCUUUUGUAGAAACAGGCAACAAGACACUGUCAUAUAAAACUUUGUACUGCAUUACAAGGCAUAACCUUUAAUAAAUCCCAAUGGUACUUUUUGUGGGGAAGAGGGAUGCUCAUAGCCUAUGGGGUGGCUGGAGAACUAGUCAGGGACCCUGAGGGCUCGAUUUACACUUUACAUGGGUGGGCCAAGGAGUUUACACUGAGGGCACUGGUAAUACCUGUAAUAGUCUUAUAGUACUUAUAAAGCAGUUUUGCACAUAAAAUACCGUCAUGCGCUUAUAAGAAGUUUGUUCCUGGGCUGCUCCAAGUUAACUGUAUUCAUUUUCCUAGUGUUAGCACAGUAUCUCAGGGAGUCUGAUUAUAUUUUUGAUUUGUAAUCUAUCUUAGACUAAGGCCUACAGAUUUCAAACUGUUCUUUGCAAUUCCUCUCAUAAUGAACCUCUGGUUCGGCAGCUUUUUUUGUUGUUGUUGUUCUUAAGUUUUACCAUUUUUGUUCCUAUUUGGUUUUGUUGUUUUUAAAUUGGGAACUGCUUCUAAAACAGAAGACAUGAAAGGAGAAUUAAAAACACAAUAUAUGUGUGAGAUAGAAUUAUCCAACUUAGCAUUUAUUAAACAUCUGCCAUAUGAUAGACAUUAGAAAUAAAAUGACUAGCAAGACCUGGUCCUUCCCCUCGGGAGUUCACAGAACGGCUGGAGCAACUGUCAUACAAACUGUUACGCAGCGCAGAAACUACAUAGACAUUUGUGCGGGUUCAGACCACAGCAGAUAGAGAUGGGCAGAGUGGGAUGGGGUAGGGGGUAAGGUGCUUGAAGUUUGCCUGGGUGGGAAUUUUUGAAGUAUGAAAAGGACUUCUGCCUGGGGGAUUGCAGCAGUAGAGGGAAGAGCACGGUCGGUACAAUUGCAUUGCAGGUGUGAAACGGCUUGAUUUGUUCAAAGAAUGAUGGAUCAUUUAGUAUUGUAUAAUGGAUGGGAGGAGAGAAACACGGCGAUCACAAAGGGCCAUGUUUGCCAAGAAAUAAAAUAUACUUGGAAAAAAA
Non-coding RNA from Macaca mulatta (Rhesus monkey), 3816 nucleotides. NCBI's taxonomy places the organism in Eukaryota, Metazoa, Chordata, Mammalia, Primates, Cercopithecidae. The record is from RefSeq and is a predicted model, not a curated record.